Molecule: non-coding RNA, 23 nt
Filed under: Cricetulus griseus (Chinese hamster)
Lineage: Eukaryota; Metazoa; Chordata; Mammalia; Rodentia; Cricetidae
Source: RNAcentral
UGGGAAGAAUGAGAACAGCCGGA